Molecule: ribosomal RNA, 496 nt
Filed under: uncultured bacterium
Lineage: Bacteria
Description: partial 16S ribosomal RNA
Rfam family: Bacterial small subunit ribosomal RNA
Source: RNAcentral
ACGAACGCUGGCGGCGUGCCUAAUACAUGCAAGUUGAGCGCUGAAGGUUGGUACUUGUACCAACUGGAUGAGCAGCGAACGGGUGAGUAACGCGUGGGGAAUCUGCCUUUGAGCGGGGGACAACAUUUGGAGACGAAUGCUAAUACCGCAUAAAAACUUUAAACACAAGUUUUAAGUUUGAAAGAUGCAAUUGCAUCACUCAAAGAUGAUCCCGCGUUGUAUUAGCUAGUUGGUGAGGUAAAGGCUCACCAAGGCGAUGAUACAUAGCCGACCUGAGAGGGUGAUCGGCCACAUUGGGACUGAGACACGGCCCAAACUCCUACGGGAGGCAGCAGUAGGGAAUCUUCGGCAAUGGACGAAAGUCUGACCGAGCAACGCCGCGUGAGUGAAGAAGGUUUUCGGAUCGUAAAACUCUGUUGGUAGAGAAGAACGUUGGUGAGAGUGGAAAGCUCAUCAAGUGACGGUAACUACCCAGAAAGGGACGGCUAACUACGUG